RNAcentral lists this ribosomal RNA (206 nucleotides) under Listeria monocytogenes. RNAcentral's name for it is "partial 23S ribosomal RNA". It matches the Rfam family "Bacterial large subunit ribosomal RNA", at positions 2205 to 2410 of the family's 2925-position model. The record is from RNAcentral. Lineage: Bacteria; Bacillati; Bacillota; Bacilli; Caryophanales; Listeriaceae.
CUGGCUGUAUGACCAUUCUAACCCGCCACGCUUAGCGCGUGGGGAGACAGUGUCAGGUGGGCAGUUUGACUGGGGCGGUCGCCUCCUAAAGAGUAACGGAGGCGCCCAAAGGUUCCCUCAGAAUGGAUGGAAAUCAUUCGCAGAGUGUAAAGGCACAAGGGAGCUUGACUGCGAGACUGACAAGUCGAGCAGGGACGAAAGUCGGG